GAUAAAAAAUAUCAUACUAGACACAAUUUGCACUCUCACAGUGCCCCAUGUCACACCUUAACAACCAUUUAUUCAGCCUUUAGUCAUCACUACAAAUGCUACUCCUUUUUUAGUGAGGAAACUGAUGGUGAGUGAGCUACUUCUCUGUUUUCAGAAAACAGGAUGUGGAUCAGUGUCAUCCUGUCGAGUUCUGAGAAGGCGUAUGCCUGACUCCAUGGUGGCUCAGCAAAGGCUUCCCUGGCAGGCAACUUUUAAGCAUGUAUACAGCAAAUUGGUCGUUCUCAAGCAGCCUUCGAACUGCAAGGGAUGUGGUAUACAGCUGUGAAGGCAGAUACAUCCAUACGCCCAGGAAUUUUCAGGUUACUUAAUAGAAAUGGAUUAUUUAAUCAGCAAAACAUUCCUGAGAAGCAGCUAGGAAUUACUGCCCUCAUUUUACAAAAGCCAACAACACAGAGGGAUCACAGGACAGAUUCUGUGAGAUACUUGGAUGCUGAGCAAGGUUUUCCAGGGCAUGAAGAUAUUUAAUUCUCACUGAAAGCAAUUAAAAGACUGGAAAUGGUAAAGCAGUAUUUCAGUGU
Molecule: long non-coding RNA, 578 nt
Organism: Neopsephotus bourkii (Bourke's parrot)
Lineage: Eukaryota; Metazoa; Chordata; Aves; Psittaciformes; Psittacidae
Exons: 3
Source: RefSeq, a predicted model, not a curated record